UACGUAGGGUGCAAGCGUUGUCCGGAAUUAUUGGGCGUAAAGAGCUCGUAGGCGGUCUGUCGCGUCGGAUGUGAAAACCCAGGGCUCAACCCUGGGCCUGCAUUCGAUACGGGCAGACUAGAGUUCGGUAGGGGAGACUGGAAUUCCUGGUGUAGCGGUGAAAUGCGCAGAUAUCAGGAGGAACACCGGUGGCGAAGGCGGGUCUCUGGGCCGAAACUGACGCUGAGGAGCGAAAGCCAGGGGGGCAAACGGG
Molecule: ribosomal RNA, 253 nt
Filed under: uncultured bacterium
Lineage: Bacteria
Description: partial 16S ribosomal RNA
Rfam family: Bacterial small subunit ribosomal RNA
Source: RNAcentral